RNAcentral lists this ribosomal RNA (399 nucleotides) under Triticum aestivum (bread wheat). RNAcentral describes it as "partial small subunit ribosomal RNA". The record is from RNAcentral. Lineage: Eukaryota; Viridiplantae; Streptophyta; Magnoliopsida; Poales; Poaceae.
AUGGCGCGCCAGCCGCCGCACAAUGACGAAAGGCCGUACCACUUCGCCACUCAAGGCAUCGACACCAAAGCAACCGUCACAAUCCAACCAUCCAUCGUAAAGGCGUGGAUAUCACGCGUGUGGACCAACUUCCUCCGGGACGCCGAGAGGAAGCUCGUCGGCCUAGACACCGAGUUCACCAACGCCGCCUUCGGGAAGAGGCAGAAGGACCUACCAAAGGAGCAGAGGCAGCGCGCUGCCGUGCUCCAGCUCUGCAUCACCAACGAGUGCCUGGUGUACCACAUCGUGCACGCGAGGCACGUGCCGGCAAUGCUGAGGAGGUUUCUGGCCGACAAGGACAUCGUCUUCUGCGGAGCCUGGAUCAAGCAGGACCGGGAGAUGCUGGGCUACUACGGCUGA